This 774-nucleotide ribosomal RNA is filed under the name uncultured Neocallimastigales. RNAcentral describes it as "partial large subunit ribosomal RNA". It matches the Rfam family "Eukaryotic large subunit ribosomal RNA", at positions 24 to 616 of the family's 3401-position model. The record is from RNAcentral. Lineage: Eukaryota; Fungi; Neocallimastigomycota; Neocallimastigomycetes; Neocallimastigales.
GUAGUCUCGCACAGAUGCAUAUCAAUAAGCGGAGGAAAAGAAACUAACAAGGAUUCCCUUAGUAACGGCGAGUGAAGCGGGAAGAGCUCAAAUUUGAAAUCUUCAAGGUUUUACCUUGACGAAUUGUAGUUUAAAGAAGUGUUUUCUGUUGAAGUUUUGGUAAAAGUUCUUUGGAAUAGGACAUCAUAGAGGGUGAGAAUCCCGUAUUUGACCAUUAUUUUCAGCUGUGUGAUACACUUUCAAAGAGUCGGAUUGUUUGGGAAUGCAGUCCAAAAUGGGUGGUAAAUUUCAUCUAAAGCUAAAUAUUGGCGAGAGACCGAUAGCGAACAAGUACCGUGAGGGAAAGAUGAAAAGAACUUUGAAAAGAGAGUUAAACAGUACGUGAAAUUGUCAAAAGGGAAGCGUUUGACACCAGUGUUGUUUUCUCGAAAAUCAAUUAAAAAGAGUUUGAUUUUGUUGUGUAUUGACCUUAACAGCUUGCAUUUCAAUUUUCUUGCUUUUUUUAAUGCACUUUUCGUUUAACAAGUCAACAUCAGUUUCUUUUGUUGUAAAAAGGUCAUUGGAAGGUGGCUUUCUUUUCGGAGAAAGUGUUUAUAGCCUUUGACUCCUGCAAUCGGAGAGACUGAGGUCUGCAGCGUAGAUCCUUCGGGGUUAGAUACAUUUGUGCUAAGUUAUAGCUUUUUAUAGACAACUUGUUGACUAUGAUUAGUCUUGUAGCUUACUCGCUUAUGCUAUUUUACCUACGCUUAGGAUGUUGAGCGCAUGUCUCUCUCU